AAGAUACUAGUAAAAUGAGUAUUACACUGCCUUGUCAAGGCAAAAUUGUAGGUUUAACUCCUGCGUAUCUUA
RNAcentral lists this transfer RNA (72 nucleotides) under Bagarius bagarius (dwarf goonch). RNAcentral describes it as "tRNA-Asp". It matches the Rfam family "tRNA". Rfam says of the family: Transfer RNA (tRNA) molecules are approximately 80 nucleotides in length. Their secondary structure includes four short double-helical elements and three loops (D, anti-codon, and T loops). Lineage: Eukaryota; Metazoa; Chordata; Actinopteri; Siluriformes; Sisoridae. The record is from RNAcentral.